UAUUAUGCUGCACCAGUAUCUCCAGAUGCCGUACCCAGGGAACUAAGCUGCUUUCUAUUUAAAAUUGCAAAGAGCAAUGGAGAGUUCAGGCAAAGGCUAUGCUUAUUCGGACUCUUCCCUGCCACCUUCUGCAGCCCGUGAGGAGCAUGCUGUGCCAGAUGUCAUCAUCACCCACCGCUUGAGGGACCGGGAGCUGCUCCGGAAAAGAAAAGCAAAAGCUGAGGAGAAACAGUCAACUCAGUGGGUUCUGAAGGAGCAGAAGAACAAACGGCAAAGGACAAGCAGAGGAGCCAGGCGAGGACGUGGCCACCUGCCGGCAGUGGAGCCCAUCCUGGAGCCAGAACUGGAGCUGGACCACCAGCUUGGCCCACAGGAGGAGGCUGAGCCAGUGCCCUCCAAGUCAGCAUCACCUGAGCCAGUGCAUCAAGAACAGCUGCCUGUGCUGACCAUCCAGGACCUGGUCAGUGGAAUGCAACAGGGAGCAGUGGAGGGUGAGCUGGCAGCCAGGAGCCAGGAUCCUACGGGUGAAGACGAGGUACUGAAACCAGCAGAAGAAAUACCAGAAGCUUUGAAUACUACUCUGGAAAAUGACCACCAGGAUAACAAAGAGAGCACAUAUGUUCUCUUCUAAUUCUCUUUGGUUUUUUUUCUCUAUGUUUUGACUCCUGCCCAGCAAACACUGAUAAGAACUGGAGAGUGAUUGCUUUUAACCAGCUCCUUCCUUGAGAUGUUGCCUCCACUGUCCCAGAACCCUGCAGGCUCUGCGUCUCAGAUGAGACAUCUCACUGGUGACAUCAGUAACACUGUCUCUCCAGUAACAGGAUGGACAUCAUGGAGACCCACCCCGGUUUUGGUCCCAGAGACAUCACAUGAGAGGUAAGUGCUCACAAGCGCUGAGCACUGCCUUCCCACCCUGAAAUCCUGGGAUGAUCUCUGGAGUUAAACCACCAGAAGCUCUAAAGCACCUGGUGGGUGUCAAAGCAGAAAGCAUCCAGCAGCUCCAUAACCAAGCAAAUGCAGUCCAUUCCCCACAGGCUGGGUCCCCCUGGAGAAAUGGGUUUCCCUAUGCAAGUGUCCUGGCACUGCUUUGGUUUCCAUAGACAUCUCGGCUAACUCAGGGUUGCACUUUCCCCUUGAGUGACUGAUACCAGUGGGAGCAGAGCAAGAUCUCUCACCUUCUGCCAUGAACUACCCAAACCUUGUUCAUAAUCCCAAAUACUUAAGGCAUAACCUGAGGGUCUUGUAGAAGCCCUUUAGCAUGGAGGGAGCUGCAGCCAGGGAGGAUGCUGACCCCAGACCAAGGUACUGGGUGACAGCAGCUGAGGCUGCACUGGCCUGAAGGGGAGCCAGAGGCAGGAAGCCAUGUAAUGGCUGAGCACCAUUACAAAAGCUGUGUUGGGGUCCUCCUGCAAGUGUGGUGUCCACACCACAUUGCAAGGAGGCUGGGCUGUAGGGUCUGCUGCUGCCAGGCAGGCCAGGAGACCCUUCUGCCUGGCAGAGCUCCACACGUGCCGUGGCAGAGGCCAGCAAGAGCUGAUGGCUCUUUCCAGUUCUCUAACCUGCUGCAGUACUCACAGGGAGGAUGAAUCAGCCAUGCUGCCCACCUCCAUGUCUGCAGACAUUUAGGCUCUCCUGGCUCCCAGAGCUCUGUAGAUUCUGGGGAGAAGCAACUUCUGGGAGGCUUUAGACUCAUCUCACAGACCCUGUCAGUCAAAAAGGGCACAAAACAACCACAUGUCCCCUUCUCUGUUGGUCAAGUGGAACUGUCAGAGGUGGCAAAGGCCUGGCAGGGCGGGACAUCUGUGAACAUGGGCAGCGCUUAUUGCUGAAGCACACAUGGGCAGUGGUGCCGAUCUUGCACUGAGAGGACUGGGGAACUCCCCGUGGGCAGAGGCUCAUGGAAACCAGAGAAAUCACCUCUGUCCAUCCCUGCAGAGAUGCCUUUGGUGGCUGCGAGGUCCUGAAGUCACCCUGGGACAGCACGCUCUGCCUUAGAGCUUCUCUCACUCUCACUGGCUUCCCUGGCAGCCAGCAAGAAAGGUGUACCUACAAGCAACAAAUCUUAUUGCAAAAUAGCCAAGGGAAAGAUAAACCCUCCUUAUCAGCACUUUCACUCACAACCCACUGUUUCUUUCUCUGACAAGAGGACAGAUAACAGAGCUGUUGCUUAUAUGGAUGGGGUUCAGGUGCAAAGCUGGACACAUGGGGGUCCAUGUGCAUCCCUGAUGUAUGUCCUGCUGUCUGAAUGGAGCUGGGGACUGGCUGGCAAGGGUGACUGUACCUAGGGGAGGGAAGCUGCUGUUUUGAAGAUGCAAUGCACCACCUUCUCCCUCCCUUCCCCUCUUCCUGAGCCCCAGGGAGAUAUCUUUACCCAGAGACAUUAACAGAGUAUCCAAUAAAGGAAAUUUUCACCCUCUGAGAUGACAAGUAGGGUCUGGGUCUGACAUGAAGGGGAAGACUGGGGGAGGUCAGAGACCUUUAACUGACUGUAGCCUUCCUGGUAAUAAAGAGUGGGUGAUGGGUGCAGGGAGAUGGCUUCUGAGCUAUGGGGCCAGCACAGGGAGCUGGGUCAGUGCCCAACACAAUGUGCUCCUCCUUGCUGUGCUGUGCUGGUGAAAGGGCUGUGUGAGGCUCUUCUGGGACACUCUGACCUGCUCCCUGAGCCACACAUACCAAGGCAGACAUGCUGUGAUAUGCAGUGGGUAUGACCACUAUGACUGUCUCCUCACUCGUGAGAUGCAGCUUGGUGUUUGUUAAUGUCAACUGGACUGGGCUGACCAUGCUGCUGUGAGCUCAUCUCAGUGCCACAGGUCCUGUCCCCUUGUUCUGCAGAGUGUGGCAAGCUAUCCUGAGGGCUGACAGAGAUGACAGAACAGCUGAGGAAAGGGAAGCUGGUGUCACAUCCAAGAGAACCAGACUCCCCUCUGUCCACUGCCAAUUACCUCUCAAUAACCUUCAAGGAAACAUGCUUCCAGCUCUAUGGCUGAAGAGAGGUUGGCUCGUUUGUGCACCCUGGCUUCCUGCUUCUGAAAUGGCCCGUGUGAAAUGGGGUCCUCCACAUUUGCAGAUAGGGGUGAUUUGUGGCAGACUGUUGCUCAAGGGUGAUGUUUUGAACAGGGAGGGUUUUCUGGUCCUUUGCAGAAGUGAAGCCAUAGCUAAGCCUAAGCAGAAAGAAGUGGGCCAGCAGCUUAGAGCCAGAGCCCAUCAGAGAUCAACAAAAAGUCAUUCCACACCACAAGAGCCUGGUCUUGCAGAGAUACGAACACUUUCUGGUUCAUUUACCAAAAUUGACUUUAAGCAGUAAAUCCUGGUGACAGCAAAUACACACUCCCUUUUCAGCUACUGUUUCCUGCUCAGAGUAUGUUAGCUGUAAUCCUUCCUGUUCUGUGUUCACCGUAUAAAUAAAUACCAGUCUAAUACUGCCAGGGCUGCCAUGGACUCCAGCUGUGCUCCACUGGCUGGCCUGGCUCUUCCUGUUUCACCAGGAAAUGACAUAACUGUAGAAAAAGUUAAGUGGGAAGAGAUGUCUGGAGAUCUUGAAUCCGACCCCUCUCAAAGCACGGAUAACUCUGAACAGACUGCUUAGGGCUUUUUCCAACGAAGUGUUGACCUCCUCCAAGAUUGGAGAUCCCCACCUCUAGUCCCCACCACAGGGCUGCCCCACUCUCAUGGGAAGAAUGUCUUUCCUUAUGUCCAACCAGACUUCCCUUCAUCACAGCUUUUGCUUCUUGCCUCUUGCCCCAUCACGGUGCACUUCAGAGAAGACCCCAGCUCCAUCUUCUCUGUAACCCUCUCAGGACCACAAGUUAAGACUCCAUGCUUGCCUUCUCUUUUCCAGGUGAACAGAUGCAGUUCCCUCAGCCUUCUAUGCUCCAGCUCCCUAUCUUAUUGGCCUCCAGCUGGCUAGGGUCCAGUGUAACAAUGUACUGGGUUACACUAACUGGAUCCAGUAUUCCAGGUGUGGGCUUAUCCACAUCAAGCAGGGGGAAUGGCCACUGGCCUCACCACACUGGCUGAAACUCAGUCCUUCUGGAUGGACGUGGGUCUUUCAGCAUGGUUGUGCCUUUGUCUCCCUCAGGCUGCCUGAGGUUUUUGCCAAUGAAAUGCAGAAAAUGCAGAGCAAAGAAACGAGGGCAUGGCUUGUGUGGUAAACAGUGGGAUCUGAGCUUCAUAGCCUUAAUAACGAUUCUUUUUUCAACACUCUCCGUACACGCUAUCUUCCAAGAAAUUUGCAAAAGUACUAAAUGUUGAGUGCAGAAUUACAUGCCCCUGGAAAUUACUGCUUAUUUGUUGGAAUGUUUAACUGCAGACCGAAAGUGCAGCUCUAGCACUGCGUUUUUACAGCUGAGCGUUACAUUCUGCGCAAGAGGCAGCCACCAGUUUUCAGGCUCUCAAAGAAGUAGCUUUGCAUUUCCCGCGGGAAACACCUUGAUCACUGACCCAGAGGGUGGCCUCCGGAGCCCAGCGCUCCGCUCCGAGGGGCUGCCCGCGCAGCCGGCGCCCGCUGAGCCCCCCCGGGAAGCACCGACGCCGCAGCGGCAGCGGCCGCCGGCGCCCGGCGCGGGCUCCCGCAGGCUCGCACAGCGCUGGAAACCCGCCUCGGCCCGCGGUCCGGCAGCGCUCUCUAGCGGCAGCGCCGGCCCCGCGUCCCCCGGGGCGCCCCGGGGCGGGGGGGGGGUUGCACCGCCACGCAGCGUGGCGUCUGCCCGGUGGGGCUCGGGGGGCGGCCGCAGGGCCCUGUGCUGGUGCUCCGGGCGCUGUGAGACCUGCCACACGCUGCUGCUGCCGCAGGAGCGGCAGUGCCGUUUGCAGGAAUGAAGCGUGAAGUGACUUCCUGGCCCGCUGGAAAUGACCACGCUCUCUCCUCCUGGCUGUGGAAGAGUCCUGUGUGUGGCUUGGCCGGCGAGAUCUCACUCGGGUUGUCAACAGCAGGGAUGUGGCGACUCUUAGAGCGAGACAUAGCUGAUCACUGAUCAGCAGAAAAUCCACGCUAAGAGUUGAGGUGCUGAAAUUUCCACUGCCUCUCCAUGUUUCCCCAGCCUCCAGCCCAGCUCCCAGCCUCUGUCCCACAGCAAGGACUCUGGCUUGGUGCCAGUGGACACAACACCAGCAGAGGAACCCCCUCCCGGGGCUGUAUCUGUCUCACUUACACCUCCAAGACCUGCCCACUGGCAGCACAGGAGACCGAGCCACAAUAGAUGUAGAGCCCUGAGACACCACAGAAAGAAAAACAAACUUCACACACCUCAGGAGACAGUCCUCUCCCAGCCACUGGUGUGGGGGCUCUUGGUUGUGAUGGUCAACACCGUGAGUCCCAGCCUAUCGGAGUGGUCAGUCACUCAUUGCUGCAGGAGUGCAAGCCCACGUUAUUCAAGAAAAGGCAAUUUUAGAGAAAACAAGGAGAACGGAAAAAGAACCCCAAUUUGGGAACCACUGAAAAACAAUAUACACACAGAAAUAAACUUAAGUGAACUCCAAGACUGAGAAGGAAGAAAUCAUCACCAUCAACACCAUGUGCCUUCUGAUGAAGAGGAUGAAACCUUUACCAGGAACAUUAUGAUCUGCCUAUUAAAGACAUUAGGAUCCUUGUUACUUGUUCUAAGACCCCCUCCCCACCACCCUCGCAGUCAUCAACCUCAGGACACAGGAAGGGUGAACAUAACAUCAAGAAGAAUUUGUGUGUGUGCGUGCAUAGCAAUCUCAGCUGUGUUACUGAGGUUUGUUUGUAUUAAUUUGGAUUAUGAGACUAAUAAUUGAAAAUAUAUUGUUAAAACCUCUGCACAUA
Molecule: non-coding RNA, 5785 nt
Organism: Phalacrocorax carbo (great cormorant)
Lineage: Eukaryota; Metazoa; Chordata; Aves; Suliformes; Phalacrocoracidae
Source: RefSeq, a predicted model, not a curated record